RNAcentral lists this ribosomal RNA (767 nucleotides) under uncultured bacterium. RNAcentral describes it as "partial 16S ribosomal RNA". It matches the Rfam family "Bacterial small subunit ribosomal RNA", at positions 1 to 757 of the family's 1533-position model. The record is from RNAcentral.
GGCCGCGGGAAUUCGAUUGGAUCGCCCUUAGAGUUUGAUCAUGGCUCAGAGUGAACGCUGGCGGCGUGCUUAACACAUGCAAGUCGAACGAGAACGGAUUAUAGCUUGCUAUAAUUGUCAGCUAAGUGGCGCACGGGUGAGUAAUAUAUAGGUAACAUGCCUCUUACUAAGGGAUAACAGAUGGAAACGUCUGCUAAUACCUUAUAUGCCUUUAAUACUGAAGUAUGCAAGGGAAAGAUUUAUUGGUAAGAGAUUGGCCUGUACGGUAUCAGUUAGUUGGUGAGGUAAUGGCUCACCAAGACGAUGACACCUAACUGGUUUGAGAGGAUGAUCAGUCACACUGGAACUGAGACACGGUCCAGACUCCUACGGGAGGCAGCAGUGGGGAAUAUUGCACAAUGGACGAAAGUCUGAUGCAGCAACGCCGCGUGGAGGAUGACACAUUUCGGUGCGUAAACUCCUUUUAUAGGUCAAGAUAAUGACGGUAGCCUAUGAAUAAGCGCCGGCUAACUCCGUGCCAGCAGCCGCGGUAAUACGGAGGGCGCAAGCGUUACUCGGAAUCACUGGGCGUAAAGAGCGUGUAGGCGGAUUAAUAAGUCAGAAGUGAAAUCCAAUAGCUUAACUAUUGAACUGCUUUUGAAACUGUUGAUCUAGAGUGUGGGAGAGGUAGAUGGAAUUUCUGGUGUAGGGGUAAAAUCCGUAGAUAUCAGAAGGAAUACCGAUUGCGAAGGCGAUCUACUGGAACAUAACUGACGCUGAGACGCGAA